GCCCCGAUGAUCCUGGCUGGCGCUGGGGCUGGACUUCAAAUCCAGUGAGGGUUGACGCCCUAGAGGUUCGAUUCCUCCUUCGAGGCG
RNAcentral lists this transfer RNA (87 nucleotides) under Guillardia theta CCMP2712. RNAcentral's name for it is "tRNA GUITHDRAFT_t76". It matches the Rfam family "Selenocysteine transfer RNA". Lineage: Eukaryota; Cryptophyceae; Pyrenomonadales; Geminigeraceae. The record is from RNAcentral.